ACGUGACGUUACACGCUUUAGUCGUGUAGCAGGAGACGGAAAUUUGUUGCGCCUUCUCUGUUGGCCCCGCCUUGAAAGUCAGCCAAUCGGCCUCUCCAGUCUGCCCGGCUCCCGGUCACCCUUGCCUACGGCUCCACUUAACCCCGCCCCUCUACCUACGGACGGCUUAACUGAUUUGAAAUAAUGGGUGAAGCCAGACUAAGCUCUGAACAAAAAAAGUUUAUCCACUGGACUAUUUUAUGGGAAUACAUAAAAGAUAAAGUUUACGGUACAAAACUGGCAACAGUUGACAAAUUGAGGGUGCACAAAUACUGAACGAAAUGAUCCUUGAUGUUUGUGAUUCCGUUGCUUCACAUUAUCGGCAGAAUGGUCACCAGUUUGAAAACGCAUUGAACAACAACAACAAAAGUAUUCAUUUCUGUAGAUUCUUUUAAAUUUUGAAAAUGAACUGUAUAUAAUAAACACUAACUUUAUAAUCA
Eptesicus fuscus (big brown bat) is the source of this 479-nucleotide long non-coding RNA. RefSeq lists it as uncharacterized. The record is from RefSeq and is a predicted model, not a curated record. Lineage: Eukaryota; Metazoa; Chordata; Mammalia; Chiroptera; Vespertilionidae. The transcript is spliced from 2 exons.